AAACCUAUGGACCCGAAUGGGUUCCGUGUUGGGCCUCGCCUCUCCGAGCGGCGUCGCCUCAAAGGCAUCGGCUUCACAGAGCGGACGGGAUCCUUAUGGACUGACCGUUUCGUGGCCGGAGUUUGACUCUG
RNAcentral lists this unclassified non-coding RNA (131 nucleotides) under uncultured Archaeorhizomyces. RNAcentral's name for it is "sequence contains ITS2". The record is from RNAcentral. Lineage: Eukaryota; Fungi; Ascomycota; Archaeorhizomycetes; Archaeorhizomycetales; Archaeorhizomycetaceae.